GUGAGUCUCUUGGGAAAACGAUAUUCGAUCUUACCAUUUUAUAUUACUUGAUAUGAUUCGGUACACUUGCUGAAGUCUUAACAGGUGCAUAUAUUAAAAAGGGGCAUGUAAUAAAGGAUUUAAAAAAGAUGUGUAGGUAAAGAAAACGAGGUGCAAGAAGUAAGCCCAAAAAACCAAAAAAUUAGGGGGAGUUCAAAUAUUGAAAAAAGGCUACAGUAAUAAAAAGGCCUAAAAAUAAAAUGAAGAAAAAAGGUGUAAGUGGUGAAAAAAGGGUACAAGAAGUAAGCCAAUAAGUCCAAAUAAAACCAGGAAGGAUGCUAAUAUUAAAAGGUGGAUUGUAGGAAAAAUUUGUGGGUUCAGGCCCAUACAAAAUUCAUAAUACGAAAUAUAUGUAGUAAGAAAAUAUUUUUGGAAUUGUUUAUUUAAUUUUUUUGUUGAAAAAGAAAUUCAAAAAUGUGUAUCACACUAUGCGAAGGAUCAAAGCAACACUGAAAGAAAUGAGUAAAGACAUUUUUUUAUGAUUUUUAGAACAAAAUAUUUGUGAAUAGUAAAAAUAAUGCACCCA
This 565-nucleotide long non-coding RNA is filed under the name Vigna radiata. Its description in RNAcentral is "long non-coding RNA (VRAD_LNC011238)". The record is from RNAcentral. Lineage: Eukaryota; Viridiplantae; Streptophyta; Magnoliopsida; Fabales; Fabaceae.